Molecule: ribosomal RNA, 228 nt
Filed under: uncultured prokaryote
Description: partial 16S ribosomal RNA
Rfam family: Bacterial small subunit ribosomal RNA
Source: RNAcentral
UACGUAGGGAGCAAGCGUUGUCCGGAUUCACUGGGUGUAAAGGGUGCGCAGGCGGGAGAAUAAGUCAGCGGUGAAAUCUUACGGCUCAACCGUGAAACUGCCGUUGAUACUGUUUUUCUUGAGUUCGGGAGAGGUUGAUGGAAUUCCAGGUGUAGCGGUGAAAUGCGUAGAUAUCUGGAAGAACACCAGUGGCGAAGGCGGUCAACUGGCCCGAAACUGACGCUGAGG